This 621-nucleotide ribosomal RNA is filed under the name Buddenbrockia sp. 2 PBS-2014. RNAcentral's name for it is "SSU rRNA". It matches the Rfam family "Eukaryotic small subunit ribosomal RNA", at positions 871 to 1490 of the family's 1831-position model. The record is from RNAcentral. Lineage: Eukaryota; Metazoa; Cnidaria; Myxozoa; Malacovalvulida; Saccosporidae.
AAAAGGGACAUUUGGGGGCAUACGAACUCGGCAGCGAGAGGUGAAAUUCUAAGACCUGCCGAGGUCGAACUAAAGCGAAAGCAUUUGCCAAGAAUGUUUUCAUUGAUCAAGAACGAAAGUUGGAGGAUCAAAAACGAUCAGAUACCGUUGUAGUUCCAACUUUAAACUAUGCCGACUGUAGGGGCCAGUUCGGUAUAUCCGUACUUAUUGACCUCCCAGGGAAACCAUAGUAGGGUUCUGGGGGGAGUACGGUCGCAAGUCUGAAACUUAAAGGAAUUGACGGAAGGGCACCACCAGGAGUGGAUCCUGCGGCUUAAUUUGACUCAACACGGGGAAACUUACCCGGUCCGGACACCGAUAGGAUUGACAGACUAAUCGCUCUUUCAUGAUACGGUGAUGAGUGGUGCAUGGCCGUUCAUAGUUGGUGGAGCGAUUUGUCUGGUUAAUUCCGUUAACGAACGAGACUAAAACCUUCAUUUCGUUUGCCAAUCAUGUUCUACGCUUUUAUCGGCUGAGAGCUAGACUUGAACAAACUAUUUGAAUGGGAUUAACGCCGUAAUCGAAAGGCGUUUGAAAUUUUUCAAUAACAGGUCUGUGAUGCCCUUAGAUGUCCGGGGCCGC